RNAcentral lists this unclassified non-coding RNA (230 nucleotides) under Hevea brasiliensis (rubber tree). Lineage: Eukaryota; Viridiplantae; Streptophyta; Magnoliopsida; Malpighiales; Euphorbiaceae. The record is from RNAcentral.
GCUUUUCCCCAUUUUGUACAUCUGGGCUAUUGGUUUAUUAGCUGCUGGCCAAAGUAGCACCAUCACUGGUACCUAUGCAGGACAGUUUAUCAUGAGUGGAUUCCUGAACUUGAAGUUGAAAAAAUGGCUAAGAGCUUUGAUAACUAGAAGCUUUGCAAUCAUUCCAACUAUGAUUGUUGCUCUUGUGUUUGAAACUUCUGACUCGAUGGUUGAUGUUCUGAAUGAAUGGC